AGCAGCCGCGGUAAUUCCAGCUCCAAUAGCGUAUAUUAAAGUUGUUGCAGUUAAAAAGCUCGUAGUUGAAUUUCGGGAUCAAUGCGUCGGUCGUGCCUUCGGUACGUACUAGCGUCAUUGAUUCCUCCCUUCUGAAGAUCCGUGAUGUCAUUAAUUUGGUGUUACGGGGAAUCAGGACUGUUACCUUGAAAAAAUUAGAGUGUUUAAAGCAGGCUAACGCUUGAAUACAUUAGCAUGGAAUAAUGAAAUAGGACGUUCGAACCUAUUUUGUUGGUUUCUAGGAUCGACGUAAUGAUUAAUAGGGAUAGUUGGGGGCACUAGUAUUCAAUUGUCAGAGGUGAAAUUCUUGGAUUUAUUGAAGACUAACUACUGCGAAAGCAUUUGCCAAGGAUGUUUUCAUUAAUCAAGAACGAAAGUUAGGGGAUCGAAGACGAUCAGAUACCGUCGUAGUCUUAACCAUAAACUAUGCCGACUAGGGAUCGGAUGAUGUUAAUUUUAUAAUUGACUCA
This 509-nucleotide ribosomal RNA is filed under the name uncultured Glomeraceae. Its description in RNAcentral is "SSU rRNA". It matches the Rfam family "Eukaryotic small subunit ribosomal RNA", at positions 569 to 1082 of the family's 1831-position model. Lineage: Eukaryota; Fungi; Glomeromycota; Glomeromycetes; Glomerales; Glomeraceae. The record is from RNAcentral.